GGGCAGGUGGCCGAGUGGUCGAAGGCGCUCCCCUGCUAAGGGAGUAGGCGGCUUAUACCCGUCUCGAGGGUUCGAAUCCCUUCCUGCCCGCCA
This 93-nucleotide transfer RNA is filed under the name Parvularcula dongshanensis. Its description in RNAcentral is "tRNA-Ser". It matches the Rfam family "tRNA". Rfam says of the family: Transfer RNA (tRNA) molecules are approximately 80 nucleotides in length. Their secondary structure includes four short double-helical elements and three loops (D, anti-codon, and T loops). Further hydrogen bonds mediate the characteristic L-shaped molecular structure. tRNAs have two regions of fundamental functional importance: the anti-codon, which is responsible for specific mRNA codon recognition, and the 3' end, to which the tRNAs corresponding amino acid is attached (by aminoacyl-tRNA synthetases). tRNAs cope with the degeneracy of the genetic code in two manners: having more than one tRNA (with a specific anti-codon) for a particular amino acid; and 'wobble' base-pairing, i.e. permitting non-standard base-pairing at the 3rd anti-codon position. The record is from RNAcentral. Lineage: Bacteria; Pseudomonadati; Pseudomonadota; Alphaproteobacteria; Parvularculales; Parvularculaceae.